RNAcentral lists this ribosomal RNA (253 nucleotides) under uncultured bacterium. RNAcentral's name for it is "partial 16S ribosomal RNA". It matches the Rfam family "Bacterial small subunit ribosomal RNA", at positions 524 to 776 of the family's 1533-position model. The record is from RNAcentral.
UACGAAGGGGGCUAGCGUUGUUCGGAAUUACUGGGCGUAAAGGGCGCGCAGGCGGCUCAUCAAGUCAGGCGUGAAAGCCCCGGGCUCAACCUGGGAAUUGCGCUUGAGACUGGCGAGCUUGAGUUCGGGAGAGGAGAGUGGAAUUCCCAGUGUAGAGGUGAAAUUCGUAGAUAUUGGGAAGAACACCCGUGGCGAAGGCGGCUCUCUGGGACGGUACUGACGCUGAGACGCGAAAGCGUGGGGAGCGAACAGG